This 240-nucleotide unclassified non-coding RNA is filed under the name soil metagenome. RNAcentral's name for it is "partial contains 5.8S ribosomal RNA, internal transcribed spacer 2, and large subunit ribosomal RNA". The record is from RNAcentral.
AACGCACGAGACCUGCGGACCUGCGGAAGGAUCAUUAAUGAGAAGCUGCCCCUCGUGGGUAGACCUCCCACCCUCUGUGAACUUACCUUUGUUGCUUUGGCAGGCCCGUCCUCUGGACCGCCGGCUUCGGCUGGCCCGUGCCUGCCAGAGGAUUCCAAACCCUGUCUGUCAGUGUUGUCUGAGUCUAUAUGAAAUCGUUAAAACUUUUAGCAAUGGAUCUCUAGAUCGGAAGAGCACACG